RNAcentral lists this ribosomal RNA (497 nucleotides) under uncultured bacterium. RNAcentral describes it as "partial 16S ribosomal RNA". It matches the Rfam family "Bacterial small subunit ribosomal RNA", at positions 28 to 507 of the family's 1533-position model. The record is from RNAcentral.
GAUGAACGCUGGCGGCGUGCCUAAUACAUGCAAGUCGAGCGAACGGACGAGAAGCUUGCUUUUCUGAUGUUAGCGGCGGACGGGUGAGUAACACGUGGAUAACCUACCUAUAAGACUGGGAUAACUUCGGGAAACCGGAGCUAAUACCGGAUAAUAUUUUGAACCGCAUGGUUCAAAAGUGAAAGACGGUCUUGCUGUCACUUAUAGAUGGAUCCGCGCUGCAUUAGCUAGUUGGUAAGGUAACGGCUUACCAAGGCAACGAUGCAUAGCCGACCUGAGAGGGUGAUCGGCCACACUGGAACUGAGACACGGUCCAGACUCCUACGGGAGGCAGCAGUAGGGAAUCUUCCGCAAUGGGCGAAAGCCUGACGGAGCAACGCCGCGUGAGUGAUGAAGGUCUUCGGAUCGUAAAACUCUGUUAUUAGGGAAGAACAUAUGUGUAAGUAACUGUGCACAUCUAGACGGUACCUAAUCAGAAAGCCACGGCUAACUACGUG